AUCCAGCUGAUGAGUCUCGGAUAGGACGAAACGCGCGUCCUGGAU
Molecule: non-coding RNA, 45 nt
Organism: Schistosoma rodhaini
Lineage: Eukaryota; Metazoa; Platyhelminthes; Trematoda; Strigeidida; Schistosomatidae
Source: Rfam